CCUACGGGAGGCAGCAGUGGGGAAUUUUCCGCAAUGGGCGAAAGCCUGACGGAGCAAUACCGCGUGAGGGAGGAAGGCUCUUGGGUCGUAAACCUCUUUUCUCAAGGAAGAAGAAAGUGACGGUACUUGAGGAAUAAGCAUCGGCUAACUCCGUGCCAGCAGCCGCGGUAAUAC
This 174-nucleotide ribosomal RNA is filed under the name uncultured cyanobacterium. RNAcentral's name for it is "partial 16S rRNA". It matches the Rfam family "Bacterial small subunit ribosomal RNA", at positions 338 to 526 of the family's 1533-position model. The record is from RNAcentral. Lineage: Bacteria; Bacillati; Cyanobacteriota.